RNAcentral lists this transfer RNA (75 nucleotides) under Colacium vesiculosum. RNAcentral's name for it is "tRNA-Lys". Lineage: Eukaryota; Euglenozoa; Euglenophyceae; Euglenales; Euglenaceae. The record is from RNAcentral.
AAAAGCUUAGUUUAAAAGAAAGAACAGCUUUAUUUUUAAAUAAAGUCGGUUUUGGUUUGACUCCAAAAGUUUUUU